CUAAUAAACUAUUUAUGCACGCAUUUAACUUGCAAAAUAAAAAAGCUUCUCGAGUACGUACUGAGACCCAAUCGAUGGCCAAGAAAUGUGUGAAAAAAGUUGUAUUAACGGUGAUGAUGAAGUACUUGAUUAUCCUCGUCAUAGUAUUUACAGUGCAAGCGAAUGACCUUACUACCCCUCUUUCUCUCCACACCUCUUCACAUCCCAUCCGCCUUCUUCAUCCUUAUGAGUCACUGUAUGAUUGCCUCAAAACCAAACUUCGAUAUUCCAUGAUAACAUAUAAAUAUGGAAGCCUAAUGUUCGCCAAGUAUACUACACGUAGCUUCUUCUUAUGCAUGUAUAGCCACCGAAAAGAAACUGACGCUGAAAUUUAUGAUCUGGCUAAAAAGUGCAUAGAAGAAUGCUUCUCAAAAUUGACAGUUCCUGAUGUCCAUGCUGGAACUUGUUUGUUCGACUGCUUUGAUAGGAAGAUUAGGAUGAAUUGAGACGUAUUGAUCAACAUAUAGAGUCAAUGAGAGCCCCUCCAAGAUGUCGUCAAGAAGUGCAAGGAGGACAAAAUAAUUAGAACUAGGGGAUGGGUUGUUGAACAUCCUUUUACGUUCAAUAAGUGCAUUUUGUUGACACUAAAACAUUUUGAAUUAUAAUAUUUAUGAUGGACUACAAAUGUUUGUUAAGUUUAUUUUGGAAUUUAUGAAAACCUUUAUGCUUCCUAAGUUUUUAAAGAAAAUCUUUAUGAAUA
This is a long non-coding RNA of Alnus glutinosa, 739 nucleotides long. RefSeq lists it as uncharacterized. The record is from RefSeq and is a predicted model, not a curated record. NCBI's taxonomy places the organism in Eukaryota, Viridiplantae, Streptophyta, Magnoliopsida, Fagales, Betulaceae. The transcript is spliced from 2 exons.